This 368-nucleotide ribosomal RNA is filed under the name uncultured organism. RNAcentral describes it as "bacterial SSU rRNA". It matches the Rfam family "Bacterial small subunit ribosomal RNA", at positions 526 to 896 of the family's 1533-position model. The record is from RNAcentral.
CGGAGGGUGCAAGCGUUAUCCGGAUUCACUGGGUUUAAAGGGUGCGUAGGCGGGCAGGUAAGUCCGUGGUGAAAUCUCUGAGCUUAACUCAGAAACUGCCAUGGAUACUAUUUGUCUUGAAUAUUGUGGAGGUAAGCGGAAUAUGUCAUGUAGUGGUGAAAUGCUUAGAUAUGACAUAGAACACCAAUUGCGAAGGCAGCUUACUACACAGUUAUUGACGCUGAGGCACGAAAGCGUGGGGAUCAAACAGGAUUAGAUACCCUGGUAGUCCACGCCCUAAACGAUGAUUACUCGACAUCAGCGAUACACUGUUGGUGUCUGAGCGAAAGCAUUAAGUAAUCCACCUGGGAAGUACGAUCGCAAGAUUG